UACGGAGGGUGCAAGCGUUAUCCGGAUUCACUGGGUUUAAAGGGUGCGUAGGUGGAUUAGUAAGUCAGUGGUGAAAUCCCCGGGCUUAACCUGGGAACUGCAUUUGUGACUGCAUGGCUGGAGUGCGGCAGAGGGGGAUGGAAUUCCGCGUGUAGCAGUGAAAUGCGCAGAUAUCAGGAAGAACACCCGUGGCGAAGGCGGCUCUCUGGGACGGUACUGACGCUGAGACGCGAAAGCGUGGGGAGCGAACAGG
Molecule: ribosomal RNA, 253 nt
Filed under: uncultured bacterium
Lineage: Bacteria
Description: partial 16S ribosomal RNA
Rfam family: Bacterial small subunit ribosomal RNA
Source: RNAcentral